UAAUACGAAGGUGGCAAGCGUUAUUCGAAAUCACUGGGCUUAAAGGGCGCGUAGGCGGAUAUGUAAGUGUCAGGUGAAAUCCCUCGGCUUAACCGAGGAAUUGCCUGACAAACUACAUAUCUUGAGUCAAGUAGGGGUGUGUGGAACUCUUGGUGGAGCGGUGGAAUGCGUAGAUAUCAAGAGGAACGCCGAAGGUGAAGACAGCACACUGGACUUGUACUGACGCUGAGGCGCGAAAGCGUGGGGAGCGAACAGGAUUAGAUACCCUGGUAGUCCACGCCGUAAACGAUGUAUACUAGGGAUAGGGGGUGUUGAUCCCUCCUGUCCCGGAGCUAACGCAUUAAGUUCACCGCCUGGGGAGUACGGUCGCAAGAUUA
RNAcentral lists this ribosomal RNA (377 nucleotides) under uncultured Phycisphaerae bacterium. RNAcentral's name for it is "bacterial SSU rRNA". It matches the Rfam family "Bacterial small subunit ribosomal RNA", at positions 521 to 896 of the family's 1533-position model. Lineage: Bacteria; Pseudomonadati; Planctomycetota; Phycisphaerae. The record is from RNAcentral.